Molecule: ribosomal RNA, 463 nt
Filed under: uncultured bacterium
Lineage: Bacteria
Description: partial 16S ribosomal RNA
Rfam family: Bacterial small subunit ribosomal RNA
Source: RNAcentral
GAUGAACGCUGCCAGCAUGCUUAACACAUGCAAGUCGAUGGGGAAGUGGUGCUUGCACCCUGGUAACCAUGGCGGACGGGUGAGUAACGCGUACGGAACUUGCCUGCGGGACUGGGAUAACAGCAGGAAACUGCUGAUAAUACCGGAUAAGGUCAUUAAGCUGCAUAGCUUAGUGAUGAAAGGAGACGCCUGCGGAGAGCCUUGCGUCCUAUUCGCUAGUUGGAGGGGUAACGGCCCACCAAGCCGAAGAUAGGUAGCCGGCCUGAGAGGGUGGACGGCCACAAGGGGACUGGGAGACGGCACUUACUCCUACGGGAGGCAGCAGGGGGGAAUAUUGGACAAUGGGGGCAACCCUGAUCCAGCAAUUCUGUGUGCACGAAGACGGUUUUCGGAUUGUAAAGUGCUUUCAGCAGGGAAGAAGGAAGUGACGGUACCUGCAGAAGAAGCGACGGCUAAAUACGUG